Molecule: ribosomal RNA, 633 nt
Filed under: uncultured bacterium
Lineage: Bacteria
Description: bacterial SSU rRNA
Rfam family: Bacterial small subunit ribosomal RNA
Source: RNAcentral
CGUUCGAGACGCCAGCCCGAACUGAACCGUCCCCAUCCUACGGAAGCAGCAGCAAGGAGUUUCGCAUGGCGAAGCUGACGAGCACGCCGCGUGAGGGAUGACGCCUCGGGGUGUAACCCUUUCUGGGACGAGCAGUGACGUACCGAGAGAGCCCGCUACUACGUGCAGCAGCGCGGUAUACGUAGGGCCGAGCGUGUCCGGAGUUACUGGGCGUAAAGCGCGCGCAGGCGGCUCGUCAAGCUGACGUGAAAGCCCCCGGCUCAACCGGGGAGGGUCGUCGGGGACUGGCGAGCUUGAGGUCGGCAGGGGUUGGUGGAAUUCCCGGUGUAGUGGUGAAAUGCGUAGAGAUCGGGAGGAACACCCGUGGCGAAGGCGGCCAACUGGGCCGAACCUGACGCUGAGGCGCGAAGGCGUGGGGAGCGAACGGGAUUAGAUACCCCGGUAGUCCACGCAGUAAACGAUGCAGACUAGGCGUGGGGGGACUUGACCCCCUCCGUGCCGGAGCCAACGCGUGAAGUCUGCCGCCUGGGGAGUACGGCCGCAAGGCUAAAACUCAAAGGAAUUGACGGGGGCCCGCACAAGCGGCGGAGCGUGCGGUUUAAUUCGACGCAACGCGUAGAACCUUACCAGGGC